RNAcentral lists this long non-coding RNA (8225 nucleotides) under Sus scrofa (pig). RNAcentral describes it as "lncRNA (ENSSSCG00050030768.1)". The record is from RNAcentral. Lineage: Eukaryota; Metazoa; Chordata; Mammalia; Artiodactyla; Suidae.
UUUUUUUUUUUUUAGAAGUAAUUAACAAAAACACAAGAAUUUUCUUGGUGUGUGGGGGCCACUGGUGUCAGCCUCCUUCACUGUCAGUUUGCUGUGUGGCUUGGGAUCUGCUCAGGGUCUCUCUCUGGGUGGCUGGCUCAGGCUUCGGUUUGAGGUCCCUCUGUGCUCUUGGUGGAGCACUGGGUGCCUCUGUGUGGACCUCAUGGAUCUGUGUGCGGGUCUCAGAGAUUUCUUUUCCCUGAGAGUGGGCUCUGUAUGAGGUUCCUGUGGGAGUUUUCUCUGUGUGAACUCUGUAUCAUCUCUGACAGGUCUCAGUGGGGGUCUCUCAGAGGUCUCUGUGUGAUGUCUCCUGUGUAUCUUCUCCAUGAGCUCUCUGUGGGGGUCUGUCAGGGGUCUCUGUGGAGGUCUCUGUAUAUGAUCUCUGAGAGGUCUCUGUGUGGGUCUCUUAGGGGUCUCUGUGUGGGACUCUUGGUGGCGGGCUUCCCAUUGCUGGCUUUCUGAUCUUAUGGCAGGAGAAGGGCAGAGACUUGCCCCUUCUUGUUUCUUGCUGUUCUCUCAGUGUCGCCGUCUGUGUCACUUCUCCCAACAGGAGCCAGCUCCCCCCACCCCCAGCCCCACCUCUCACUGCCCCUGAGAGGACACAGCAGCGGCCAGUCUCAGGUCCCACUCUGGGCCACCCUCUCCUGAGCUCCCUAGGGUGUGCCCUGCUCUGGGUCCUGGUCCCUUCCCUGGUCCUGACUGCGCCAUCACUGCUGUGCCCACCCUGGAGGAUGGGGCCCUGAGGCAGGACCUGGCUCCAGGAAGAAAUCUGUGCCUGCUCCCCCCUCCUCCCUGGGUCCUGGGCCCACAUGUUGGGUCCUGACAGGCAGGGGCAGGGCCCUUCCUUCUGUCACCUGGAUCGGGUCCCCUCCUGGAGAAGGCCCCUCCACCGUGGGAGUGACCAUGACACAAAGCACCAAUGGCUCUAAAGAACUGCCCUGGUCCCCCAGCUUCCCGUGUGCACGGUGGGGGAGGGGACCCCAUGCACCCUCCUGCCCUGCAGGUCACUUCCUCCCUACUGUGUGACAAGUCCUGUCUGCUGGCCCUUCCCUCUCAGGGCUCUGGAGUGAGCAAGGCUGCUGCCAGGUGUCACUUGCUAGAACCCUAGGACAGUCCCUGGCCUCUUAAGUGCCUGGGAGCCUCCUAGGGCCAUGUAUGUAGGUAAAGGUCACAGACUGCGAGUCUGUCCUGAGCUGCCCCUGCCGUGAAAGCUGAUGAGAUCAUGGUGGGGAAGUGACCCGCCCUGUUGAGGCUCUGCUGCCUCCAUGAGCCUCCCCCCCACCUCCAUGAAGGAGCUACAGGCAUCUUUCCUCUGGGCUCUGGGAGCUGGAGGAGCAGGGAGGUUCUGGGGUAGGGCCACCAAGAGCCAACUUCUCUCUGGGCCAGAGAUGUGGUGGGACAUCAGAGGCUCCUUGGUCACUGCACCUUGCCUGCAUCCCAGCCUGGGCACCUCUUCCACUUGCCUCCUUCCCGGCAUCCCAGCCUGGGGCACAGUGUCCUCUGACAGGUGGUGAGGUGACAGCACACAUGGUCAUGGCCCUGCUUGUCCCCCAAGGGAUGUGGGCACUGUGAGCAGGAGGAGUGGACAGGCCCUCAGUGGCCUCAAUGGCCCCCACCCUCCCCCCACACCCUCACAGCUGGGACUGCCUGGUCCUCGUCCUUGCCGCUGCUCCAGAGCGUGAGAAAGGCAGAGAGAGGGUGACCUCCUGGGCCAUCUCCCCCCCAGCUCCCUCAGCCAGAGGAGAAGCUUCCCAGGUGGAGGUCAUCUCUGCCCACCAAGGCCUGGGGGGCAAGGCUGCCCGCACCCCAGCGCUGCCCCCAAAUGCCCUCCUUAUUCUGACAUGGGAACUGGUCUCUGACACUUGUUGGAGCCUGAGGGGCAUUUCAGCCUCUGCCACCCACCCCCGUCCCCUACAGCCACACAAGUUCAAGGUAGACAGAAAGCGGGAGAGGAUGGCUGAGCCAGAUGGUGGCAUGGGGGAAGUCUUCCAGGUUGCGUUCCCCUGCCAUGUCCUGAAUGCUGUCGCUUGCUUCGGUAAUUCUGGUAUUAGGGGAGCUUCAGGUGCAACGAGGGAACUGGGGGCGAGCAUUCCACCUUGGGGCCAGCCUCCCUCUGUGGCCCUGUCCCUUCUGGAAGCCAAAGCAGACACCUGGGAAAAGUGGACCCUGACCCCAUCCCCUCCCCCUGAAGGCACAGACAGAAACCGCCACCUCUUAGGGGAAAGAAACAUAUAUUUGGGGAAACAAUGAACGUUAUGGUAGGAAUAAGCCAUUGGCACAUAGAGGAUGUGCUAGCAUGAGGGAGAAACAGGUUUCCUUAGUAUGGACUGAAUUUUCAUAUCAGGCAAAGCUUGAGGAGCACACCCUGGUUGACCAGCAGAUGCACAUUUUUGAGGAGAGCAUGUCAGGUGAUGGUGCAGGUGGCCUGAGGUACCUGCCACUAUUGGUCCCUGCUGGCAGGGUCUGCCUGGGGUCCCUAGGUCCUUGGGUGGGGAGGACCACUUGCCACCCUUGUCUUUGGUGCCCCCACUGUUGAGAGAGCUGUGGUCCUUGGGGGUGGUUUGGUGACCGUGAACUCGAUUUCUCAACAGUCUUUUCUGUUCUAAGAAGGCGUGAACCUUCUGGUAGUGAGACUGCCCCCCUGCUGGGGGCUGGAGCCGCUAUGUGUGCUGGUUUAACUCUGAGGGCUGGAGGUCUUGACGAAGCCCCAGUUGCUCUCCCAGGAUCUGUCCAAUAACAGUUCCAGUCACCUCAGCUUCUGGAGCCCCAGAUCCCCCUUGGACUGGUUCCUGGCAUGGAGCAGUGAGUGAUACAGGCUUGCCUUUUUGAGGGACUGUUUCCAUUCCUUUACCUUUUUUAUGGGGACUUACACACUGCAGAAAGUGCUUCAUCCUUCUUCUGAAGUAGCUUUCCAGUAAAAUCUGUUGCUUCCCUGGAGAGAACGGGAGGUCUUUGCUCCCAAGGGACUCUCCUCUUUCCUUGACCUUGGGAGGAUGGCUCACACCAUUGGCUUGGGAAGCCCUUAGACCUGAAAACUUUUCUUCAUACUCUUCUGGUUGGAGCCUUGUAAGUCCCCUCUGCUCAUCAUUUGGAGCAAACCUCUCUCUCCAGCUCUUUCUUUGUUUAUGUGCUUUUGGCUUGGGCCUCUUGAAGCCCUGCCACUCCUUAGCUGGGGCAAACAUCUCUCUCUGGCCAUUUGUUUCAUUGUCAUCUUCUGGUAGGAGCCACUCACAGACCUCCUCCUCAUCAUCUGAGACCAUCUGGCCCUUACAUGGGUCCCUCACUUUUGGGUUUGGGGGUUGCUGUUGGCCCUGGCUGCUCUUUGAGUUUUUGUGCUCUUCAGGUUGGAGCCUCUUAAAUCUCCUCCACUCAUCAGUUGGGGCAAGCAUCACACCCUGGCUAUUGUAUGGGUGCCUAAGUUUUGGUUUUGUGGAUUUCUGCUGCCCUUGGCUGCUCUGUUCACUCCCUUUGAGGUUGUAUGGUACCUGGGAAGCUGGCCCAUCCUCACUAGCAUAUUCUCUCUGGAAAUGGGACAGGGAGCUCUGAGAAGCCAAGAUGUCUGAAGCAAGGCGCACAUCAGUGUGAGAGUCUUGAAGGAGCACAGUGGUGACAGCAUCCUGGAGGAGCAUGCCAGUGGCAGAGUCUUGGAGGAGGACAUCUGUGUGAGUAUCUUUAAGGUCCUCAUCGGUGGCAUGGCCUUGAGGCUGAUUCUUUGCCUCUACCAGACCUCUCCGUUCAAACUUACUAGCCACCUGUGUUUUAAGGCAAGGCUCCUUUGGGUCUUGGGCCAUUGACUUUGUCAGCGGUGAUAGGCUUGUGCUAGUGGCUGGAAACCCAGAUUUUCUCAGAUCUGCCUCCGAGGUUUGAGAGUUGGCCAGCACACUGGGUCCCAAGAUAACUUCCCCAGCAGGGUCCUCCCCAGUCUCCCUGGCCUCCAUGGCCUCCAUGGCCUGUUUGGCCAUUGAAGAUGGGGACGUUAAGUCCAUCUCCAGUCCCGAGGCACUAUGGCAGGGGUGUUUGGAGGUCUGAGCCAGACACCUUUCCCUGGAUUUCCUCCUGGUCAUUGGUGAACUUGGACUGGGCCCUGAGAAAUUCCCCACCGGCAGGAUUCUGCCCCUGUGUUUGCGUGGGGGCUUGGGAGGAGGCGUCCUUCUCUCCUGCCCAGUCAGAGGGGCCUUUGAGGGCUCGUGGCUGACUCCAGGUAGAGGCCUGCCCAGGGCGCCAUGGACUUGCCUAGCUGCAGGUGAGGGGGCAGGCAGGGGACUCAGCAGGGUGGGAACGGACACUCUUGUUAGCACGUUCUCUCCCUGAUGGGGCUGAGGUUUUCCCAAGACCUUGGAAACGUUGGCUUUGGAGUGCUCCCUGGGUUGCUGGGUGGCUGAGGGGGAAAAGGUAGACCUUGGAAGGGGUGAGGGCUGAGCCCCACUUGGCUUGAGAUAUAUGGGUUCAAAAGCCUGGGUAGGAAAGCCCCACCUGUACCUUACCCGCAGCCUCAUAAUAUGUACUUCCAGCAUCUGUCGAAUGCCAGGACUAAGAAAGGAAAGCUGCCUGGAGGUGUUUACACAGGGCUUCCAAUACUUCAAGGAUGCUGGAUUUCGGAUUUCCUUGUGACUGUGGGACUUAGGAAGAGACUGGUUGGCAGCAAGCCAGGAUCGCCGUACAGUCACAGGGAUCAAACCCUUAUGAAUCUGCUGCACCUUUUUGCUCAGAUGGACUUUCAAGGUUCUUUCUAGAUGUCUUCUAUCUGGAACCCUGGGGAAACACUUUGCAGAGUCCCUCUGCAAGGAUCUUUCUGCCACCAUAUCAGAGUUCAUUUCCAGAAACGUGUCUGGGAGGCUGGCCCUGGAGAGAGCUUUUGAGACCCUACUGAGACAUGGCUCUAGAGCCUUGAUGAACUCCUUGCCUAGUUGGAUGGUCAUUUGGCAUCUCCUCUGGGAUCUGGUAGUGCUCCUGGACCUUGUCUUAUAUGGGUCCAGGCCACUACUUCCUGUGAGACUAGAGGGCUGCCUGGGUCCUUGUCGGCCCUGUGCUGCAUGCAUGUCUACCAAUGGGCACUGAAAUGGAUUCAGUUCCAGAGACAGUGGGAUCCCGAGAGACAGGCCCCUCUCUUUUUGAUUUUCAGUGAGCCUCUUUUGAAGCUGUUGCUUCUGCAGCCAGGAGCAUGCCAGAGGUUGCGUUUCAGCUGGGGUGAAAUAGAGUGCCUUCUUCUGGAAUGUUGGGCAAUAUAGCCCAAGGGUCCCCAGCUGGGGUGGAGUAGAAGGUGGUCUGAACAGGAGAGAGACAGUGGGAGGAAGUGCUAGGCAUGGGUCUGAGCCAGGAAGAGGGCCUGGGACUAAGGCAAGUUUUGAGUCAAAGGCUGGGGUUGGGCCUCAGGGCAGGGCAAGAAGGAGUCCUGGGAAAAAUCUCCAGAUAGUCUUGGUGGCGUGGGUUCUGGAAAGCCACUAGAGAUUCCAUAGAAUAAAACGGGGGAGCCUGUAGUUGAGAAGAGCUCCAAGGGACAAAAGCAGUAGCCACCAAUGCCUCGCUGUGCAGAGAGGGGAGACCCCAGAAGAGCUGGCUGUGUGUGCACUCAAAGUGGUCCCUCAAGACCUUGGGGUAUAAGAACUGCUGAGGACCGGGCAGCAGCUCUGCUUUGUCUUUAUGUUCGCAAAGGAUGGAGGGGUUGUAGCAUCCUGCUGCCCACUCAGUGAUGUCCAUAUCAUCCCCAAAGAGCUCAGGGGGUAGUCUGAGCUCCUUUGUUUUGAAAAUGACCCAUAUUUUCCUCUCUCUUUCUGAAUCUUUAGUUCUACCCUCUUGCUGAUGAAGGAUCUCCAGCAGCCUCUGGAUAUGUGGGCUGACAAGUGAGGGUCUGCUCGUCUCUCCCCAGCUGUCUGUGGGGCUUUUCCAGUUGGAGGCCUCUGGUGAGGUGGGCUCUUGCUGGGCCUCCUGCUUGGAUGAGAUGGGGAAGAAUAAGGCCUUGGUGGUCUCCCACCAGCAUGACAGGAAUGACAUGGGACAGCUGGCGAGGCCAAGACCCAGAUGGCUUGGAUGGUAGAUGCCCAAAAGGAGUUACCUGGAGGUGAGCACUUUGCGGCAGGACCCUGUGGGAUGCUCUUGAUGUUGCAUUGGUCUUGAGGGUCUGCUGCCAGGAUGGAGGCCAGAGGGGGAGGGCUCUGGGUCAGAGGAGCCGGGGAAGCUGAUGGGGGCAUGGUAGGAACAGCCUCUAGUGCAGGCUCCCUGCAUGGCUGCUGGGCUCCAGCGGGCACUGCCUGGCACACCUCGCCAAGGGGGUCUGGACGUGAAUAGCAGUGAAAGUGGCCCCUCUCAGGGACUCUGCACAGGUGGUUGCAGGAGACAAGAGGCACAAGCUCUAGGCAGGAGCCGACGGAGCCAAGGCAGGGCCCCCACAGCCCCCACGCUGACUUCACAGUGCACCUGUUGUCCCUCCCCUUGGGGCUUGAGCUGAACCCUGCUGCCAUGGCUCCCCUUCCCAGGUCAGCCCCAGGCUGCCUGCAGCCCUAGGGUCACACCCUGAGCCCUGGAAGGAAGGAGAACCCAGGAGAGAAAGGAAAGAUUCUUUACCUUUGCAGAUGUGCCAUCAGGCCCCAAACCCAUCCCAGCUGUUACAGACCAUCUCUGCAGGCUGGAAAUCAGGACACUGGGGCAUGGUGAUGAAGGCAAGGGCAUGAGGGCUUUACAGGAGGCUGGUACCUUUAGGGACACUUUUGGGAGACUGGAACCCAAGCACCAGUGUCCAAGGCCACACGAAUCCUGACAGUGAUGGAGAAGCUCCCAGACAGUUUUCUCAUUUGCAAAGUGCUUCCAUAUCUAUUACCCCUGGCUGCCCUCACAAGCCCCCUGGGGGUGCGGGGGUGGGGGGGAGGGAGCAGGGAGACCUCACAGAGGAAUCCCGGCCAUGUGAAACCACUUGUUCUCAGUCCAACCUGGAGGAUCCACCUCCCAAUCCAGGCACUCCUGGUCCAAGACAGCCCACAUGCCCCUGCUGGGUCAGGCCCUUUCCCAGGCUCCUCACAGCUUCAUUCUGCAAAAGGAUCUGGUUCCUGCUUUCCUUUGCUGAGGGUUCUGUUUCCUGCUGCUGGCAUCCUUAUAGACCAAGGAGCUGGUCCCGCAGGGCCGGGAGAGAUGGAAGCGGACUCUCAGGGCGCACAGGGCUGAACGUGGAAGCUUACCUUUCAAGGCUCUAUUUCUCAUCCUACUCCUCCUCCCCACCAGCUCCAUUUGUUGCUGAGAAAGAGGAAAGAAAAAAAAAAAAAAAAGAGGGGCUGGUUCCCACUUCUCACUCUGCCUGCUCUAAAGCAUUAAACGCUCGAGACACUCCACAACCAGGCAUAAUAGGACUUUCUACAUUGAACUAAUGGAGCUCUGUGGGUUUUCUUUUCUUUCAUUCAUUUUUAAAGUGGAUACAAAUAUUCUGUGUUCCUUCAUUGAAGAACACAAGGAAGGAUUUUCUAAGAGAUCUACUCUGGAUUUCUUGCAUCACUGUUCCUUUGCUCAAGAAACACACCUUCUCAGGUCUCUGCUCUCCGAGGUGGGGCCCCACCUGCUCAGAGGCUCCCAGGGCCUCAGCACUGCCCUCAGACGAGCCUUUGUUCAAGACCCUUGUUCGUGGCUGGUGAACAAGUGCUCAGGGGCUUGACCUGUGGCUGAGAUGGAACUCUUAGUAUCCAGUCCUUGGCCGCUGGUCACUGCAUUUGGGACUAGCCCUGGAGCCCUCUCCCCUCCUGGGACACCUGGUCUGAGAUCUUUGGCCAGAAAUCCCAACGCCCACUCUUUCCCCUGUCGGGCCUGGCUUGUCCCUAGAGGGAUGGUGUGUGUUGUUUCAUUAUCCUAGAUGUCCUCUUCUUUCCCAUCUCAGGAGUCUCUCUAGUGGCUUCAGAAAAGUGAAAGUAAUAAUAGGAAAGAGAGACUCAUGUGCUCUUGGGUCUGGGCCCUGGGUUCCUUACCUUCCUGAUGCUCCCAUGUGUCCCAGAUGGUAGUGAGGACAGAUCACUCCUGAGGUAGGGGCAUAAGAGGAAGAAGAGCCCCAGUCUACACACCAAGGCGAGGAUGGUUUCAUCCACCCAGGAAGCGGGACUGGGGUGCCACCAAGGAGCACCCAUAUUGUUCACAAAAGAGUGAAGAUUCUUUAUCUCUUCACAAGGCUUUCACAGGAGAUAGCACUGUUACCCGCAGGUAACUGAACCCUG